Molecule: ribosomal RNA, 253 nt
Filed under: uncultured bacterium
Lineage: Bacteria
Description: partial 16S ribosomal RNA
Rfam family: Bacterial small subunit ribosomal RNA
Source: RNAcentral
UACAGAGGGUGCGAGCGUUAAUCGGAAUUACUGGGCGUAAAGGGUGCGUAGGUGGUUAAUUAAGUCAGAUGUGAAAUCCCAAGGCUUAACCUUGGAAUGGCAUUUGAUACUGGUUAGCUAGAGUACAGAAGAGGGAAGUGGAAUUUCCGGUGUAGCGGUGAAAUGCGUAGAUAUCGGAAGGAACAUCAGUGGCGAAGGCGAGUCCCUGGAAAACUCCUGACACUGAGGCACGAAAGCUAGGGGAGCAAACAGG